GACGAACGCUGGCGGCGUGCUUAACACAUGCAAGUCGAACGAUGAAGAGGAGAAACGCGAACUUCGGUUCAAAUUUCACUUCGGAUUAGUGGCAGACGGGUGAGUAACGCGUGAGCAACCUACCUCUUACAAAGGGAUAGCCUCGGGAAACCGUGAUUAAUACCAUAUGACACAUUCAUAAGGCAUCUUAAGAAUGUUAAAGCUACGGCGGUAAGAGAUGGGCUCGCGUCCCAUUAGCUAGUUGGUGAGGUAACGGCCCACCAAGGCGACGAUGGGUAACCGGCCUGAGAGGGGGAACGGGUACAUUGGAAAUGAGACACGGUCCAAACCCCUACGGGAGGCAGCAGUGGGGAAUAUUGCACAAUGGAGGGAAAUCUGAUGCAGCGACGCCGCGUGAGCGAUGAAGGAAUUCGUUUCGUAAAGCUCUGUUCUAUGGGAAGAAAAGGACUGUACCAUAGGAGAAAGCCCCGGCUAAAUACGUG
RNAcentral lists this ribosomal RNA (482 nucleotides) under uncultured bacterium. RNAcentral describes it as "partial 16S ribosomal RNA". It matches the Rfam family "Bacterial small subunit ribosomal RNA", at positions 28 to 507 of the family's 1533-position model. The record is from RNAcentral.